RNAcentral lists this ribosomal RNA (497 nucleotides) under uncultured bacterium. Its description in RNAcentral is "partial 16S ribosomal RNA". It matches the Rfam family "Bacterial small subunit ribosomal RNA", at positions 28 to 507 of the family's 1533-position model. The record is from RNAcentral.
GAUGAACGCUGGCGGCGUGCCUAAUACAUGCAAGUCGAGCGAACGGACGAGGAGCUUGCUCCUCUGAUGUUAGCGGCGGACGGGUGAGUAACACGUGGAUAACCUACCUAUAAGACUGGGAUAACUUCGGGAAACCGGAGCUACUACCGGAUAAUAUAUUGAACCGCAUGGUUCAAAAGUGAAAGACGGUAUUGCUGUCACUUAUAGAUGGAUCCGCGCUGCAUUAGUUAGUUGGUAAGGUAACGGCUUACCAAGGCUACGAGGGAUAGCCGACCCGAGAGGGGGGAUGGCCACACUGGAACUGAGGAAGGGCCCCCACUCCUGCAGGGAGGCACAGCAGGGAAUCCUCCGGGAGGGGGCAAAGGCGUACAGUGGAACGUCGGCGGAAGCAUGAAGGAUCUCGGACGCGUAAACGAUGAUUAUCGGGGAGUAGAAAAGCUCUAGUAACCGUGAACAUCAUGACAGUACCGUAAGAAAAAGCCCCGGCUAACUACGUG